RNAcentral lists this ribosomal RNA (278 nucleotides) under uncultured bacterium. RNAcentral describes it as "partial 16S ribosomal RNA". It matches the Rfam family "Bacterial small subunit ribosomal RNA", at positions 331 to 607 of the family's 1533-position model. The record is from RNAcentral.
UCGGACCUACGGGGGGCAGCAGUGAGGAAUAUUGGUCAAUGGGCGGAAGCCUGAACCAGCCAAGUCGCGUGAGGGAAUAGGGCCCUACGGGUCGUAAACCUCUUUUGCCGGGGAGCAAGGGCCGGGACGCGUCCCGGCCCGGAGAGUACCCGGAGAAAAAGCAUCGGCUAACUCCGUGCCAGCAGCCGCGGUAAUACGGAGGAUGCGAGCGUUAUCCGGAUUUAUUGGGUUUAAAGGGCGGGUAGGCGGGAGGGCAAGGCAGAUGUGAAAACUAUGGG